AGAGUUUGAUCAUGGCUCAGAACGAACGUUGGCGGCGUGGAUUAGGCAUGCAAGUCGCGCGAAUCCCCGCAAGGGGGGAAGCGGCGUAAGGGGCAGUAAGGCGUGGGUGACCCACCCGGGGGUCGGGGAUAGCCCGUCGAGAGACGGGGUAAUACCCGGCGAUGUCACAAGACCAAAGGUCCGCCGCCCCCGGCGGGGCCCACGUGAUAUUAGCUAGUUGGCGGGGUAACGGCCCACCAAGGCGGAGAUGUCUAGCGGGUGUGAGAGCACGACCCGCGCCACUGGCACUGAGACACUGGCCAGACACCUACGUGUGGCUGCAGUCGAGGAUCUUCGGCAAUGGGGGCAACCCUGACCGAGCGACGCCGCGUGGGCGAUGAAGGCCUUCGGGUUGUAAAGCCCUGUCGAGGGGGAGGAAAGCUUAACGGCUGGACCCAUCCCUGGAGGAAGCACGGGCUAAGUUCGUGCCAGCAGCCGCGGUAAUAC
This 486-nucleotide ribosomal RNA is filed under the name uncultured bacterium. RNAcentral describes it as "bacterial SSU rRNA". It matches the Rfam family "Bacterial small subunit ribosomal RNA", at positions 8 to 526 of the family's 1533-position model. The record is from RNAcentral.